AGCUAAUAGAUACCCCGGUAGUCCACGCCCUAAACGAUGUCUACUAGUUGUUGGUGGAGUAAAAUCCAUGAGUAAACGCAGCUAAACGCGUGAAGUAGACCGCCUGGGGAGUACGGUCGCAAGAUUAAAAACUCAAAGGAAUUGACGGGGGCCCGCACAAGCGGUGGAUUAUGUGGAUUAAAUUCGAUGCAACGCGAAAAACCUUACCUGGCCUUGACAUGCCACUAACGAAGCAGAGAUGCAUUAGGUGCCCGUAAGGGAAAGUGGACACAGGUGCUGCAUGGCUGUCGUCAGCUCGUGUCGUGAGAUGUUGGG
RNAcentral lists this ribosomal RNA (315 nucleotides) under uncultured bacterium. Its description in RNAcentral is "bacterial SSU rRNA". It matches the Rfam family "Bacterial small subunit ribosomal RNA", at positions 774 to 1079 of the family's 1533-position model. The record is from RNAcentral.